UGGCCGCACGCGCGUACACUGAUGAAGUCAACAAGUCAUCACCUUUAUCGGAAGAUAUGGGUAAUCUUUUGAAACUUCAUCGUGCUGGGGAUAGAGCAUUGCAACUAUUGCUCUUAAACGAGGAAUCCCUAGUAAGCACAAGUCACCAGCUUGUGCUGAUUACGUCCCUGCCCUUUGUACACACCGCCCGUCGCUACUACCGAUUGAAUGGCUUAGUGAGGCCCUCGGAUCGAUACUCGGAGACUGGCAACAGUUUCCGUUUGUUGAGGAGUUGGUCAAACUUGGUCAUUUAGAGGAAGUAAAAGUCGUAACAAGGUUUCCGUAGGUGAACCUGCGGAAGGAUCAUUA
RNAcentral lists this ribosomal RNA (348 nucleotides) under uncultured Glomus. RNAcentral's name for it is "SSU rRNA". It matches the Rfam family "Eukaryotic small subunit ribosomal RNA", at positions 1484 to 1831 of the family's 1831-position model. The record is from RNAcentral. Lineage: Eukaryota; Fungi; Glomeromycota; Glomeromycetes; Glomerales; Glomeraceae.